AACGAACGCUGGCGGCGUGGAUAAGACAUGCAAGUCGAACGGGAACUUCAGCUGUAGCAAUACAGUUGAAGUUUUAGUGGCGAACGGGUGCGUAACACGUGGGCAAUCUGCCGAGAAGUGGGGGAUAGCUCGCCGAAAGGCGAAUUAAUACCGCAUAUGAUCAGCUAAGACAUCUUAGCGACAUCAAAGCCGGGGCAACCUGGCGCUUUUUGAGGAGCCCGCGGCCUAUCAGCUAGUUGGUGAGGUAACGGCUCACCAAGGCUAUGACGGGUAGCUGGUCUGAGAGGACGACCAGUCACACUGGAACUGAGACACGGUCCAGACACCUACGGGUGCAGCAGUCGAGAAUUUUUCUCAAU
Molecule: ribosomal RNA, 359 nt
Filed under: uncultured bacterium
Lineage: Bacteria
Description: bacterial SSU rRNA
Rfam family: Bacterial small subunit ribosomal RNA
Source: RNAcentral